AAACCAACAGGGAUUGCCUCAGUAACGGGGAGUGAAGCGGCAAAAGCUCAAAUUUGAAAUCUAGCACUUUCAGUGUUCGAGUUGUAAUUUGAAGAAGGUAACUUUGGUUUUGGCUCUUGUCUAUGUUCCUGGAACAGGACGUCACAGAGGGUGAGAAUCCCG
RNAcentral lists this ribosomal RNA (162 nucleotides) under uncultured Candida. RNAcentral's name for it is "partial 26S ribosomal RNA". It matches the Rfam family "Eukaryotic large subunit ribosomal RNA", at positions 62 to 223 of the family's 3401-position model. Lineage: Eukaryota; Fungi; Ascomycota; Saccharomycetes; Saccharomycetales. The record is from RNAcentral.